GGAUUUCAACAGCCCAUUUAUAUCGAAUAUCGAUGGCGAAACCACUAAAUCAGGUGGUUAAUAAAAAAGUCUUGCGGUAUUUUCGCUAGUUGGCGCUGAAAGCGCGUAGUUCUAGUUUUAUUCGUCGCAUCGGGUCAUGCUAUACCUUUUUGGAAAGCUCAGUUCACACGCUAACACGUGUUUGAUUGAUUGUCGUUUCUUUUAAGUCGUUCGUGAGUUAUAGCGUCGCAAACAUGGAGCAAAAUAAAGAGAAAAUACGGCAUAUUUUACAGUACUACUACGAUAAAGGCAAAAAUGCAUCUCAAGCCGCCAAUAAAAUUUGUGGAGUUUAUGGACCCGAUACAGUUUCCAUUUCCACCGCACAACGAUGGUUUCAACGUUUUCGUUCUGGUGUAGAGGUGGUCGAAGAUGCGCCACGCUCCGGAAGGCCUGUAUAUAAAAUUUUGCUACACAAUACUUUUAAAGAAGCACAUGAUUUUGUUGCGUUUGACGAUAAAAAACUCGAACAUCAGAAACAAAAUUUAACGAUUUGGUACACCCUCCAUCAUAAAUAUACAUAUGUAUAUGUGGCUGAAAUUUUAAUUAUAAGAGCGUCCAAAAUUUAUUUACUGAUGAUGUUGCCAUAUUAUAUUCCUGGAAAGGAACAAAUACCAAAAAACCGACAAGAGCCCUUAGUGUGACGACAGCAUUAAAACAAGCCUAUGAGCAAAACUUUCCGACCGCUGCCACGGAUAUGGAAUUCGAACACACAACAAUAAACUUCUUUCAACACGCGAGCAAUAUGAUCAAGAAUAGAGUUGAUUACAAAAAAAUAUUUAUAUUAUUGAAAAUGGUUGAGUUGUUAUAAGCAUACGAGUAUUGCGUGGGAAUUUUAAAUUAAAUUAUUUAAGUUGUGAUUGGA
Long non-coding RNA from Bactrocera neohumeralis, 901 nucleotides. RefSeq lists it as uncharacterized. The record is from RefSeq and is a predicted model, not a curated record. The transcript has 3 exons. Lineage: Eukaryota; Metazoa; Arthropoda; Insecta; Diptera; Tephritidae.